Molecule: long non-coding RNA, 937 nt
Filed under: Equus asinus (donkey)
Lineage: Eukaryota; Metazoa; Chordata; Mammalia; Perissodactyla; Equidae
Description: lncRNA (ENSEASG00005026127.1)
Source: RNAcentral
AAUGACACCACGGCCCAGGCCCAUCUUCACUUUCUCCUGCCCCAAGACAUGGUGUCUGGAAGAAGGAGAGAGCAGGAGGUGGCACCGCUGGUUCCGGGAGCCAGGGGCCGGGCAGGACUCGCCCCUGCCAGGCAGAGGGAGACCCCUCAAGACCUUGGCCUUGCUGGUCGGAAGUCCGAGCCCUGCGUGGGUGGCUCAGAUAACAGGGAGCGACAGCCUCUUCCAACUCGCCCUUUGUGAACACAGGCCUUGGCCCAUCUCAGCUCUGGGGCUCAGGCCCCCAUCCUCUCCUCCAACAGCGCCUCCUCGUCCCGAGUGCCAGUCAGGCAGCUGAGACCCAGCUUCCCCAGAGAACUUGCUUCUCCUAAAGUCCUCCCCAGUGGGGGCUGUUCAUCCUCCUACAUCCCUGACCCUGGGCGCCACGAGAAGGUCCGAUUCUCCUGGCCUCCAAACUUCUCCUUCCACAGCAGCCAUGUAGCCACCUCCCUGGACAGUCCCCCCUUCUCCCAGCCACAUCCCUGACCUCCACAGGCCCAUGGAUCACCAUGUGCAUCACAGGAGAAGGGCAUGUGGGCCUGACCUGGUCUUCUCUGCACCACUCAGCUUCCUUGUGGAUGGCCUUCCGAGCCCCUGGCCCCUUGCUGCCUGUUCAACUCAUCUCCAGUGUGACCUUCUCCUUCAUUCCUGUCCCCCCACAUAUGAGUCAUGGCCACACCUGGGACCUUGGUGUCAGGUCUGAGGCCUCUGAUGCCGACGCUUCAGCCACAGCUCCCCAUCUCCGUUGCCCCCUCCCCACCUGUCCUUGGCCCUCAUGGCGCUGCCAGUGUAGACAAAUGGAGAUGGUGUGGUGUGAGCAGCUUAAGCCUCAUGGUCCAUCACUUCAGCCACGCUCUUGUCGAUACUUUGUGCUAGAUAGAAUAAUGUCCCCAGAGAUGCC